Molecule: ribosomal RNA, 492 nt
Filed under: uncultured bacterium
Lineage: Bacteria
Description: partial 16S ribosomal RNA
Rfam family: Bacterial small subunit ribosomal RNA
Source: RNAcentral
GGUGAACGCUGGCGGUAGGCCUAACACAUGCAAGUCGAACGGCAGCACAGUAAGAGCUUGCUCUUACGGGUGGCGAGUGGCGGACGGGUGAGGAAUACAUCGGAAUCUACUUUUUCGUGGGGGAUAACGUAGGGAAACUUACGCUAAUACCGCAUACGACCUACGGGUGAAAGCAGGGGAUCUUCGGACCUUGCGCGAUUGAAUGAGCCGAUGUCGGAUUAGCUAGUUGGCGGGGUAAAGGCCCACCAAGGCGACGAUCCGUAGCUGGUCUGAGAGGGUGAUCAGCCACACUGGAACUGAGACACGGUCCAGACUCCUACGGGAGGCAGCAGUGGGGAAUAUUGGACAAUGGGCGCAAGCCUGAUCCAGCCAUACCGCGUGGGUGAAGAAGGCCUUCGGGUUGUAAAGCCCUUUUGUUGGGAAAGAAAAGCAGCAGGUUAAUACCCCGCUGUUCUGACGGUACCCAAAGAAUAAGCACCGGCUAACUUCGUG